This 896-nucleotide ribosomal RNA is filed under the name uncultured archaeon. RNAcentral describes it as "bacterial SSU rRNA". It matches the Rfam family "Archaeal small subunit ribosomal RNA", at positions 1 to 904 of the family's 1478-position model. The record is from RNAcentral.
UUCCGGUUGAUCCCGCCAGACCUGACUGCUAUCGGAUUGAUACUAAGCCAUGCGAGUCAUUGUAGCAAUACAAGGCAUACGGCUCAGUAACGCGUAGUCAACCUAACCUAUGGACGGGAAUAACCUCGGGAAACUGAGAAUAAUGCCCGAUAGAACAUUAUACCUGGAAUGGUUUAUGUUCCAAAUGAUUUAUCGCCGUAGGAUGGGACUGCGGCCUAUCAGUUUGUUGGUGAGGUAAUGGCCCACCAAGACUAUUACAGGUACGGGCUCUGAGAGGAGUAGCCCGGAGAUGGGUACUGAGACACGGACCCAGGCCCUAUGGGGCGCAGCAGGCGAGAAAACUUUGCAAUGUGCGAAAGCACGACAAGGUUAAUCCGAGUGAUUUCUGCUAAAGAAAUCUUUUGUUAGUCCUAGAAACACUAACGAAUAAGGGGUGGGCAAGUUCUGGUGUCAGCCGCCGCGGUAAAACCAGCACCUCAAGUGGUCAGGAUGAUUAUUGGGCCUAAAGCAUCCGUAGCCGGCUCUGUAAGUUUUCGGUUAAAUCUGUACGCUUAACGUACAGGCCGCCGGGAAUACUGCAAAGCUAGGGAGUGGGAGAAGUAGACGGUACUCGGUAGGAAGUGGUAAAAUGCUUUGAUCUAUCGAUGACCACCUGUGGCGAAGGCGGUCUACUAGAACACGUCCGACGGUGAGGGAUGAAAGCUGGGGGAGCAAACCGGAUUAGAUACCCGGGUAGUCCCAGCUGUAAACUAUGCAAACUCAGUGAUGCAUUGGCUUGUGGCCAAUGCAGUGCUGCAGGGAAGCCGUUAAGUUUGCCGCCUGGGAAGUACGUACGCAAGUAUGAAACUUAAAGGAAUUGGCGGGGGAGCACCACAAGGGGUGAAGCCUGCGGUUCA